Molecule: non-coding RNA, 253 nt
Filed under: uncultured bacterium
Lineage: Bacteria
Also listed under: 1 other name
Description: partial 16S ribosomal RNA
Rfam family: Bacterial small subunit ribosomal RNA
Source: RNAcentral
UACGUAGGGUGCAAGCGUUAAUCGGAAUUACUGGGCGUAAAGCGUGCGCAGGCGGUUUUGUAAGUCAGAUGUGAAAGCCCCGGGCUUAACCUGGGAACUGCGUUUGAAACUACAAGGCUAGAGUGUGGCAGAGGGGGGUGGAAUUCCACGUGUAGCAGUGAAAUGCGUAGAGAUGUGGAGGAACACCGAUGGCGAAGGCAGCCCCCUGGGUUAACACUGACGCUCAGGCACGAAAGCGUGGGGAGCAAACAGG